GACGAACGCUGGCGGCGUGCUUAACACAUGCAAGUCGAACGGAAAGGCCCCUUCGGGGGUACUCGAGUGGCGAACGGGUGAGUAACACGUGAGUAACCUGCCCUUGACUUCGGGAUAACUUCAGGAAACUGGGGCUAAUACCGGAUAGGAAUCCUUGCUGCAUGGUGGGGGUUGGAAAGCUUCGGCGGUUUUGGAUGGACUCGCGGGUUAUCAGCUUGUUGGUGGGGUAGUGGCUUACCAAGGCUUUGACGGGUAGCCGGCCUGAGAGGGCGACCGGCCACAUUGGGACUGAGAUACGGCCCAGACUCCUACGGGAGGCAGCAGUGGGGAAUCUUGCACAAUGGGCGGCAGCCUGAUGCAGCAACGCCGCGUGCGGGAUGACGGCCUUCGGGUUGUAAACCGCUUUCAGCAGGGGCGAAGCUUGUGGUGACGGUACCUGCAGAAGAAGCACCGGCUAACUACGUG
Molecule: ribosomal RNA, 465 nt
Filed under: uncultured bacterium
Lineage: Bacteria
Description: partial 16S ribosomal RNA
Rfam family: Bacterial small subunit ribosomal RNA
Source: RNAcentral